This 472-nucleotide ribosomal RNA is filed under the name uncultured bacterium. Its description in RNAcentral is "partial 16S ribosomal RNA". It matches the Rfam family "Bacterial small subunit ribosomal RNA", at positions 28 to 523 of the family's 1533-position model. The record is from RNAcentral.
GACGAACGCUGGCGGCGUGCUUAACACAUGCAAGUCGAGCGAGAAACCUUCGGGUUUCUAGCGGCGGACGGGUGAGUAACACGAGGGUAACCUGCCUCAAAGAGGGGGAUAGCCUUCCGAAAGGAAGAUCAAUACCGCAUAAUAUUACAGUUUCGCAUGAAGCAGUAAUUAAAGGAGUAAUCGGCUUGGUGAUGGACCCGCGGCUCCUUAGCUAGUUGGAGAGGUAACGGCUCACCAAGGCAACGAUGCGUAGCCGACCUGAGAGGGUGAUCGGCCACACUGGAACUGAGACACGGUCCAGACUCCUACGGGAGGCAGCAGUGGGGAAUAUUGGACAAUGGGCGAAAGCCUGAUGCAGCAGCGCCGCGUGAGUGAUGAAGGUCUUCGGAUUGUAAAGCUCUGUCGGUUGGGACGAUAAUGACGGUACCAAAGGAGGAAGCCACGGCUAACUACGUGCCAGCCGCCGCGGUAA